Molecule: transfer RNA, 58 nt
Filed under: Actinomycetota bacterium
Lineage: Bacteria; Bacillati; Actinomycetota
Description: tRNA-Arg
Rfam family: tRNA
About the family: Transfer RNA (tRNA) molecules are approximately 80 nucleotides in length. Their secondary structure includes four short double-helical elements and three loops (D, anti-codon, and T loops). Further hydrogen bonds mediate the characteristic L-shaped molecular structure. tRNAs have two regions of fundamental functional importance: the anti-codon, which is responsible for specific mRNA codon recognition, and the 3' end, to which the tRNAs corresponding amino acid is attached (by aminoacyl-tRNA synthetases). tRNAs cope with the degeneracy of the genetic code in two manners: having more than one tRNA (with a specific anti-codon) for a particular amino acid; and 'wobble' base-pairing, i.e. permitting non-standard base-pairing at the 3rd anti-codon position.
Source: RNAcentral
AGCUCAGUGGACAGAGCAGGAGCCUUCUAAGCUCUUGGUCGGGGGUUCGAAUCCCUCC